RNAcentral lists this ribosomal RNA (375 nucleotides) under uncultured Thermovirga sp. RNAcentral's name for it is "bacterial SSU rRNA". It matches the Rfam family "Bacterial small subunit ribosomal RNA", at positions 1010 to 1382 of the family's 1533-position model. Lineage: Bacteria; Thermotogati; Synergistota; Synergistia; Synergistales; Thermovirgaceae. The record is from RNAcentral.
ACUUACUCUUCGGAGUGAGAGCGUACACAGGUGCUGCAUGGCUGUCGUCAGCUCGUGUCGUGAGAUGUUGGGUUAAGUCCCGCAACGAGCGCGACCCUGCAUUCAGUUGCCAUCGGUAAGGCCGGGCACUCUGGAUGGACUGCCGGCGACAAGCCGGAGGAAGGUGGGGACGACGUCAAGUCAUCAUGGCCCUUAUGUCCAGGGCGACACACGUGCUACAAUGGCCGGCACAACGGGAAGCGAAGGGGCGACCCUGAGCGGAUCCCACAAAAGCCGGUCCCAGUUCGGAUUGCAGUCUGCAACUCGACUGCAUGAAGUUGGAAUCGCUAGUAAUCGUGGAUCAGCCAAGCCGCGGUGAAUACGUUCCCGGGCCUU